This 253-nucleotide ribosomal RNA is filed under the name uncultured bacterium. Its description in RNAcentral is "partial 16S ribosomal RNA". It matches the Rfam family "Bacterial small subunit ribosomal RNA", at positions 524 to 776 of the family's 1533-position model. The record is from RNAcentral.
UACGAAGGGGGCGAGCGUUGUUCGGAAUUACUGGGCGUAAAGGGCGCGUAGGCGGCGACUCAAGUUAGAUGUGAAAGUCCUGGGCUUAACCUGGGGACUGCAUUUGAUACUGGGUUGCUUGAAUUCGGGAGAGGAUAGCGGAAUUCCCAGUGUAGAGGUGAAAUUCGUAGAUAUUGGGAAGAACACCGGUGGCGAAGGCGGCUAUCUGGACCGACAUUGACGCUGAGGCGCGAAAGCAUGGGGAGCAAACAGG